GAACGCUGGCGGCAUGCUUAACACAUGCAAGUCGAACGAGAAAGUUUCCUUCGGGAAGCGAGUAGAGUGGCGCACGGGUGAGUAACACGUGGAUAAUCUGCCCUAGAGUCUGGGAUAACCUUCCGAAAGGGGGGCUAAUACAUGAUAAGCCCACGGAGUCUUCGGACUCAGUGGGAAAAGAUGACCUCUUCUAUGUUAUCGCUUUAGGAUGAGUCCGCGGCCCAUUAGCUAGUUGGUAGGGUAAUGGCCUACCAAGGCUACGAUGGGUAGCUGGUCUGAGAGGAUGAUCAGCCACACUGGAACUG
RNAcentral lists this ribosomal RNA (305 nucleotides) under Desulfuromonas sp. Its description in RNAcentral is "bacterial SSU rRNA". It matches the Rfam family "Bacterial small subunit ribosomal RNA", at positions 31 to 321 of the family's 1533-position model. The record is from RNAcentral. Lineage: Bacteria; Pseudomonadati; Thermodesulfobacteriota; Desulfuromonadia; Desulfuromonadales; Desulfuromonadaceae.